This 253-nucleotide ribosomal RNA is filed under the name uncultured bacterium. RNAcentral describes it as "partial 16S ribosomal RNA". It matches the Rfam family "Bacterial small subunit ribosomal RNA", at positions 524 to 776 of the family's 1533-position model. The record is from RNAcentral.
UACGAAGGUCCCAAGCGUUAUCCGGAUUUAUUGGGUUUAAAGGGUGCGUAGGCGGGCAGGUAAGUCCGUGGUGAAAUCUCUGAGCUUAACUCAGAAACUGCCAUGGAUACUAUUUGUCUUGAAUAUUGUGGAGGUAAGCGGAAUAUGUCAUGUAGCGGUGAAAUGCUUAGAUAUGACAUAGAACACCAAUUGCGAAGGCAGCUUACUACACAGUUAUUGACGCUGAGGCACGAAAGCGUGGGGAUCAAACAGG